RNAcentral lists this unclassified non-coding RNA (310 nucleotides) under plant metagenome. RNAcentral describes it as "partial contains 5.8S ribosomal RNA, internal transcribed spacer 2, and large subunit ribosomal RNA". The stretch from base 1 to 105 matches the Rfam family "5.8S ribosomal RNA", at positions 50 to 154 of the family's 154-position model. The record is from RNAcentral.
GAAAUGCGAUAAGUUGUGUGAAUUGCAGAAUUCAGUGAAUCAUCGAAUCUUUGAACGCACAUUGCGCCCCUUGGUAUUCCAUGGGGCAUGCCUGUUCGAGCGUCAUUUGUACCCUCAAGCUCUGCUUGGUGUUGGGUGUUUGUCCCCGUCUCCGCGCGUGGACUCGCCCCAAAGUGAUUGGCAGCCGGCGUACUGGUCCCGGAGCGCAGCACAUGUCGCGCAAACGAGUGCCUUGGUACGGCGGCGUCCAUAAGCCCCUCUCUCACGCUCUUGACCUCGGAUCAGGUAGGGAUACCCGCUGAACUUAAGC